GUCAGCUCGUGCCGUGAGGUGUCGGGUUAAGUCCAUAACGAGCGCAACCCUUAUCGUUAGUUGCCAGCGGGUAAAGCCGGGAACGUCUAGCGAAACUGCCGGUGUAAACCGAGAGGAAGGUGGGGAUGACGUCAAAUCAGCACGGCCCUUAUGUCCAGGGCUACACACGUGUUACAAUGGCCGGUACAGAGGGCAGCUACCUGGAGACAGGAUGCGAAUCUCGAAAGCCGGUCUCAGUUCGGAUCGGAGUCUGCAACUCGACUCCGUGAAGCUGGAUUCGCUAGUAAUCGCGCAUCAGCCAUGGCGCGGUGAAUACGUUCCCGGGCCUU
Molecule: ribosomal RNA, 329 nt
Filed under: uncultured Sphingobacteriales bacterium
Lineage: Bacteria; Pseudomonadati; Bacteroidota; Sphingobacteriia; Sphingobacteriales
Description: bacterial SSU rRNA
Rfam family: Bacterial small subunit ribosomal RNA
Source: RNAcentral